AUCUAUAAAGUUAAAAGGAAAGUAAUUUUGUCGGGUAUUUUGCAAUAGAAUCGUAUAAGGGGAGGAAGUGGUUGGUUGGAACAGUUCGCGAGUGUUUCCUACGGCAAGAGGAGAGAAAAAGGCAGAGAAAAGAACACGUUACCUGGCAGCGUGGCGAAGAGAAAGGGAAGAGAGCUGGCAGAGCGAGUAACCGAUACGUGGCUCGUGAAAAUGGAAAACGUGUCUCGGAUCUUGCUGACUCGACGAGAAACAAAAGUGGCGUGUGGCUUUUGCGAGAUGUUAGCAGUUAGGAGGAGAGAGCCGUUCAAGUUUCCGGUAAGUUU
This is a long non-coding RNA of Bombus huntii, 323 nucleotides long. RefSeq lists it as uncharacterized. NCBI's taxonomy places the organism in Eukaryota, Metazoa, Arthropoda, Insecta, Hymenoptera, Apidae. The record is from RefSeq and is a predicted model, not a curated record. The transcript has 3 exons.